This 75-nucleotide transfer RNA is filed under the name bacterium. RNAcentral describes it as "tRNA-Ala". It matches the Rfam family "tRNA". Rfam says of the family: Transfer RNA (tRNA) molecules are approximately 80 nucleotides in length. Their secondary structure includes four short double-helical elements and three loops (D, anti-codon, and T loops). The record is from RNAcentral.
GGGCUGUUAGUGAUAAUGGUAGCACAUGUGCUUUGCAAGCAUGAAGCAGGAGUUCGAUUCUCCUACGGUCCACCA